RNAcentral lists this ribosomal RNA (1501 nucleotides) under metagenome. RNAcentral's name for it is "bacterial SSU rRNA". It matches the Rfam family "Bacterial small subunit ribosomal RNA". The record is from RNAcentral.
AGAGUUUGAUCAUGGCUCAGGAUGAACGCUAGCUACAGGCUUAACACAUGCAAGUCGAGGGGAAACGAUAUUGGAAGCUUGCUUCCGAUAGGCGUCGACCGGCGCACGGGUGAGUAACGCGUAUCCAACCUGCCCAUCACUUGGGGAUAACCUUGCGAAAGUAAGACUAAUACCCAAUGACGUCUCUAGAAGACAUCUGAAGGAGAUUAAAGAUUUAUCGGUGAUGGAUGGGGAUGCGUCUGAUUAGCUUGUUGGCGGGGUAACGGCCCACCAAGGCAACGAUCAGUAGGGGUUCUGAGAGGAAGGUCCCCCACAUUGGAACUGAGACACGGUCCAAACUCCUACGGGAGGCAGCAGUGAGGAAUAUUGGUCAAUGGGCGAGAGCCUGAACCAGCCAAGUAGCGUGCAGGAAGACGGCCCUAUGGGUUGUAAACUGCUUUUAUAAGGGAAUAAAGUGAGUCUCGUGAGACUUUUUGCAUGUACCUUAUGAAUAAGGACCGGCUAAUUCCGUGCCAGCAGCCGCGGUAAUACGGAAGGUCCGGGCGUUAUCCGGAUUUAUUGGGUUUAAAGGGAGCGUAGGCCGGAGAUUAAGCGUGUUGUGAAAUGUAGACGCUCAACGUCUGCACUGCAGCGCGAACUGGUUUCCUUGAGUACGCACAAAGUGGGCGGAAUUCGUGGUGUAGCGGUGAAAUGCUUAGAUAUCACGAAGAACUCCGAUUGCGAAGGCAGCUCACUGGAGCGCAACUGACGCUGAAGCUCGAAAGUGCGGGUAUCGAACAGGAUUAGAUACCCUGGUAGUCCGCACGGUAAACGAUGGAUGCCCGCUGUUGGUCUGAACAGGUCAGCGGCCAAGCGAAAGCAUUAAGCAUCCCACCUGGGGAGUACGCCGGCAACGGUGAAACUCAAAGGAAUUGACGGGGACCCGCACAAGCGGUGGAGCAUGUGGUUUAAUUCGAAGCAACGCGAAGAACCUUACCUGCUCUUGACAUCCCAUUCGAUAGAGGGUAAUGCCUCUAGCCCUUCGGGGGAAUGGAGACAGGUGGUGCAUGGUUGUCGUCAGCUCGUGUCGUGAGAUGUUGGGUUAAGUCCCGCAACGAGCGCAACCCUUAUUGUCAGUAGCCAGCAGGUGAAGCUGGGCACUCUGAUGAGACUGCCGGGGAUAACCCGGAGGAAGGUGGGGAUGACGUCAAAUCAUCAUGCCCCUUAUGAGCAGGGCUACACACGUGCUACAAUGGCGUAAACAGAGGGAAGCGAAGGAGUGAUCUGGAGCAAAUCUCAAAAAUAACGUCUCAGUUCGGAUUGUAGUCUGCAACUCGACUACAUGAAGCUGGAAUCGCUAGUAAUCGCAGAUCAGAAUGCUGCGGUGAAUACGUUCCCGGGUCUUGUACACACCGCCCGUCACACCAUGGGAGUCGGUAAUGCCCGAAGUCAGUGACUCAACCAUAAAGGAGAGAGCUGCCGAAGGCAGGACUGGUAACUGGGGUGAAGUCGUAACAAGGUA